UCCGAAAGCGACUGACCAUGUUCAAACGACCAUCCACCCACUACGGCAAAUCCCCGCAACCAGAGACGCCCUACCAGCGCGCGGCGCAGAUCUGGGACGAUCGGAUCGGAUCAGCCCGCGUGCAGGCCCGCAACUNNAUGGCGUUCGGCUCAUUGGGGCUUGCCGCUGGCCUCUCCGCCGCACUUGUCUGGCAGUCCGCCAAC
Molecule: unclassified non-coding RNA, 203 nt
Filed under: Hevea brasiliensis (rubber tree)
Lineage: Eukaryota; Viridiplantae; Streptophyta; Magnoliopsida; Malpighiales; Euphorbiaceae
Source: RNAcentral